Molecule: non-coding RNA, 45 nt
Organism: Schistosoma haematobium
Lineage: Eukaryota; Metazoa; Platyhelminthes; Trematoda; Strigeidida; Schistosomatidae
Source: Rfam
AUAUACAUGACGAGUCUAAAAUAAGAUGAAACGCGCGUCCUGAAU